UUGUUGGUGAGGUAACGGCUCACCAAGGCUACGACGGGUAGCUGGUCUGAGAGGAUGACCAGCCACACUGGAACUGAGACACGGUCCAGACUCCUACGGGAGGCAGCAGUGGGGAAUCUUGCGCAAUGGGCGAAAGCCUGACGCAGCGACGCCGCGUGGGUGACGAAGGCCUUCGGGUUGUAAAGCCCUGUGGGGAGGAACGAACCGUGCGGGGGCCAACACCCUCCGCACCUGACGGUACCUCUUUAGCAAGCAUCGGCUAACUCUGUGCCAGCAGCCGCGGUAAGACAGAGGAUGCGAACGUUGCUCGGAAUUACUGGGCGUAAAGCGCGCGUAGGUGGUCCCGUAAGUCGUGUGUGAAAUCCCUCUGCUCAACGGAGGAAGUGCACGGGAUACUGCGGGACUGGAGUACAGAAGAGGACAGCGGAAUUCCCGGUGUAGAGGUGAAAUUCGUAGAUAUCGGGAG
Molecule: ribosomal RNA, 466 nt
Filed under: uncultured bacterium
Lineage: Bacteria
Description: bacterial SSU rRNA
Rfam family: Bacterial small subunit ribosomal RNA
Source: RNAcentral